This is a non-coding RNA of Ceratotherium simum simum (southern white rhinoceros), 246 nucleotides long. NCBI's taxonomy places the organism in Eukaryota, Metazoa, Chordata, Mammalia, Perissodactyla, Rhinocerotidae. The record is from RefSeq and is a predicted model, not a curated record.
UAGCUUGAUUAUAACAGAUGCCUGAAAGGGUGAAGCCAUAUAUUGCUGACGGCACUCUGCUUUUGGAACCUGACAAGAUCAAAUGGAAGCCUGCAAACCUGAGUGGCCUUGCCCUGAGACAUUUUCAUAUGAUGUGAUGAUGGACUGCAUAGUUAUUAAUGACUGAAUGCGAUUCUAGUAAUGUGCCAGUAUCUUUUGACCUUUACAAUUGUUUUGCUAUAAAGGACCCAUGUUUGAGGACUGGAG